CCUCAAAAACUCCGAAGAGUGUGCCGAGCAGUCGAUAUCUGCUGCUUCUUAGCCACACCUCAUCGUCAUUUGGUGUUUUCUCAGGAUAAGUUGCAAUCGUUUGUUGCAGACGGAAAGUGUGUCGUUAUCGCUGAGUUCAGUUGCGCAGCACAUAGUUCUAGCGACCACACCUAGGUUCUUAGAAAAAGCCAGGAUGAGGGUACCGCUAGCCCUGUGUUUGGUGGUAGGUUGCAUCAUUGUAGGUAUCAGUGCACAGCGUUCUCCAGAUGGCCUCCCUCGGCCAGAGAAUACGCGCUUUUCUCCAGAUUACCCAUUUGGUCCGACACCUACGGUCUAUAACAAUGUGACAGGAGCCGUGAUCGAUUGCGAUUGGUAUGGAUGGGAGAACAUUCUGUAUCCGACAUCUUCAGUCCGAUGCACAUACUUGCUGCGGGCCUUUUUGACGAAUGCGACAUUGUUUCCUCCCAGCAAGCGCGAAGCAUAUGUAUACUACUACCAUUCCAAGUUGUCGGACCCGGCCACCGAAGAACCUUAUUGCUACCAAGGGUGCUUCAAAUUGUCUGCGUCUUCGUCCUCACCGCCGUCAGCUCCCGCUUCGGACCCCCCUCCUCCCCCAGAUAUAAUCCCACCAAGUCCCACGACUUUCAACUCACCACCACCCCCAACUCCCAUCUUAACACCUACUACUCCCAGCGUAACGCCGUCCACCUCGCCUGGGACGCCUACAACUCCAACAACUACACCUAGAUUCAACUCCAACAGUGGCGAUUGUUUGCGGCCGUCGGCGCCGGGAUCGUGGAUUGCGAUGGUGGCGGGUGCAGCCAUGUUGAUGAUGAGGGGGAGAUGGUGAGGUGUGAAGGGGGAGGCGCUGCGAUGGAGAAGCGCCGACCGUGAUGUAUGUAGGUAGUCCCUCUCCGUUCCCAGUGUGUGUGUGAAUGUGAGUGUACAGGUGAUGGAGGUAUCGUGUGGAGUCAGCUGGGUUCCUUGAUAGAUAGGGUAGCAGUAUCAUUAUCAUCUGGCUCUCUCUGAUUUGAAUGGGGCAUGAUGCUGUGUCUCCCUUUGUAGCUGCAUCAUUCCUUGCACCAUUUCCCUUUGAUAUGUGAUAUGUCAUCGUGUAGUACGAAAAACCGAUGGCGAGAUUCUAUGCCAUGUUUAUAAAAUAAUUAAGUCAAGUUUAUGGAAGCCAAAUUAUUUAGUUUUUUUUCGAGAUAAUUGGUUCCUUCCCUUUCCUUUCCUCCUCGCACACUUUCUGCUAUCUUAUUGCAGUUUUUCUUCUCCCUAUGCCGUUUUCUCACGUCUUCUCCUUCUGCAAACCGCCCCACUCACACACACCCCCCCCCCCUUUAUUUUUUAUUUAUUUUUUUCUCUCUCUGUUCUUUAUCCUGGUUUCUGGUGCACUUUGGCUCGCUUGAGUCGCUUCAUGUGAUUUGUAUGAAUGCCUUGAACCUCAUUUGUGUCGAAGAGUGAAAAUGUUGACAACUACGUCAUUUCUCUGUAUGUGGUUAUUGAUUGGAUUUAUAUGUGCCUACACCACGAAGCACUUUGAGCAUAAUUCAGCUAUGCACUAAGAAAGCCGAUUCGUAGUGCUACCAACACUAUCGGCCCAAGUUACCGAAUAGAACAUGUAAAAUAUCGUAAUUGUUCAGUACCAUAGGCAUGUAAUCCUUUAGCAUUGUUGGUAAACUGUAAUGUACCUCAAUCACCACUAAUCCAAAUUAUAACGGAGAAACUAGUAUUACAUUCAAUCGUUGCAACAGUGUAAAUAGUAGAUGACGUAUUUUCAACGCCAAAUUCCUACUCACUAGAAUCCACAAUUCGAACGCUACAGUCACCUUCACCUACAAUCAUCCGAAUAGUUGACCUCGUAGAGUAUAGGUCCCUCGUGUUGGUUUUGUGAUUGAAGCCAUGUUAUGUAAUUAAAUUCUACUGUUGUUCUGUCAAAGGAAAAAGUGUACAUAAUUUCUACCUUUAUUGAGAGAGAUAAGAUUGUUGAGGCCGCUAUUUCAGAAGGCAUUCUAAUUAUAUCUAUGUUGCAACAUAGAAGCAAUUGCAAAAGAUUUUUUUUAUCAAAGAGCAGAUAUGCAUGCUAACCACAAUUAAUUUGUAAAAAAACAUGUGUAGUUAAUGGCAUAUUCAGAACUACAGAUAACCAUGGUGUGCAAUUAGAUUUAUUUUUAUUGUGAUAUAUUUUACAAUUCUUCAAUGAGUAACAUGUAGCAUAUAAUUUAAGAGCUUGGAACUCAUGAUUCAAGAGUCAUGCACAUCAUAAGUUUGUUGCAUCCUACAAAGAAUUAUAAUUUAUUACAUACUAUAUAAAAAAAUUAUAACUUAUCACAUAUUUCAUUAUACAAAAAAAUAACAUGUUAUAGUUAUAAUAACACCAUAAUAUCAUAUAUUUGUUAGGGACAUAGUCCUUAGAAUCUUCUAGAGACAAGUUUCUAGAACCUUCUAGAAGCAAGUCUCUGGAACCCUCUAGAAGCUUCUUAGUUGGUAGAAGUUGCUUGAGAAGCUUCUUAAAUAGGAAUAUAUAUUGGAAUCGAGGUUGAAGAGUUCUUCAGUCUCGACAACACAUCUCUUGGAGCUCUAGCUCACCUCUCUGGUCUUGUUCUUGUAUUCAUGUGAUCAAUCUAGUUCUUGCCAGUUCUUCUUGAACUUCUUGUUAAAUCUCAAGUGUGUAUUUUUGUAUUCGUGACAGUUUGUCGAGACUGCACUCACCUCAGAUAUCAGAGCUAGUUUCUUCCUCGUUAGAGUAUGGAUUAUCCCUCUACUUGGAAGUGUACUAACAUUUUAGAGGUUGCGGAUUAUCUUUCUUUAAAUUGAUACUUCUUUUGUUACAAUAUUGGAGUCCUAUUCUUCUUGGAGAGAGUGGAUUAUCCAUUUUCUUGAAGCUCUUAAGGCAUUUUAGAGGUUGCGGAGUACUCUCCUCUAAACCAAUAUUGUCUUCUUGUAGAGUCAUUUCUGUCCUUCUAUUAGAAUGGUUGGAGGUCAAGACAUUAGUAUGACAGAAAGUUUGGAGUCCAAGUUGGAUGCUAUCAUGAAUGCCCUCGCUACGUUAUCGCAAAGAACUGCAGAGAUUGAAGGAGUCGUGGUAAGGCUUCAUAAUGAUGGAGCAUCUGAGAUGGCACAAUCUAGGUUGCACCAGCUUCAAACUUCUGCACUUGGAGAAGCAACUUUGCCUCAGGUUCGACAAGCAUCGCUAGUUUUAUAACAUAAGGAGCCCUGAGUUAGCCUUCCGGACAAGUUCGAUGGUACACAUUCCAAGUUUCAAGGAUUCGUCAACCAAAUCAAGUUGAUAACAGUUUUACAGCUGAACGCUAUCCAACGAAGUAGUCACAUGUUGGGCUUGUUGGAACCUUACUUACAGGGCAAGCUCUAUCAUGGUUUGCUUCUUUGUUUGAGAAACGAUCGUCCAUACUAAACAACUUUGAAACCUUUUUGGAGGCGUUUGCGGAAGCAUUCGGUGAACACGACAAGGUUCAAUGGACUACAACAAAGAUCCGAUCACUACGACAAGGGAUGCGCUCUACAUCAGUCUAUGCAUCGAAUUUCAGGCAAUUAGCAUGCGACAUCAAUUGGAACGAAGAAGCAUUGAUGAGUCAAUUCUAUUGGGAUUAAAGGGACGAUGUGAAGGAUUUGCUGUUAACUCUUCCUGAUCCGCAAAUACUCAACAAAGCUCUUAUCCAAGUUGUGAAGUGCGAUAACCGCCUAUUCCAAUGUCGGCAAGACCAACGUUCAAGACAACAUACGGUUUGCCAUGCCCCAAUUAUGUCGGCAAGCAAUGUGAAUUCACAUUCAGAGGUAGAAGACAUGCAAAUUGAUGCGGUACGUAUCAAAUCUCUUACUCAAGAAGAAAAAAAGCGGUGUAUGGAGGAAGGUCUAUGCUUGUAUUGCGGUGAAGAAGGCCACAAAGUUGGAAACUGCCCCAAGAAGCAGAAUCGACAUAUUAUCAAGACUAGGGAUGCAUUUAUUCAGGAAAACGAGGAUGCCCAGCCACAAUAGGAACCGUGCGAAUGGACAGUGAAAUAUCGCAACAACAACCAGGUUCCUUUCUUUCCGCUCAACCUGCCCUUUAUUUUACAAUCCCUUUGCUUAUUGGCCCUCAGAAACUGAGAACCUUAGCAUUAUUAGAUUCAUGAGCAUCUACUUGUUUUUUAGACGAAGAAUUUGCAAAGCGUCAUAAGAUCCCUUUAGUACAAAAAUCCAAACCUGUUCACGUUGAGGUCAUAGAUGAACGACCUUUAUUGUCUGGUAGUGUCACCUAUGAAUCAAAACCUAUAGAAGUGACGUUUAAGGACCAUAGUAGUCAUAUUAUUUUCAAUAUUAUUACAACCCCAUCAAAUCCUAUUAUUUUUGGUCUUUCUUGGUUGGAAAAGCAUAAUCCAUCUAUAGAUUGGAGGUUGCGGAAGAUAACCUUUUCUACAAAACUACCCAAGAACAAGCCUAGUAGAAAAUCUCGAAUAGAGAAAUCCUUAUUCAUUGGAGCAAGAGCAUUUAUAAGAUCGUCCAAGGAAGGCACACCAUUUGUUAUUUAUGCGGCUCCAACUAUCGGGGAGAAGAUCUCGACAACAAGUAUAUCUGAGCAAUAUAAGGAUUUUAAAGACAUAUUUCAAAAGAAGAAUGCUGACAUGCUACCAGAACACCGACCAUAUGAUUGCGCAACAGACUUGCAAGAAGGAGCACAACCACCUUUUGGCCCAAUCUACAAUCUAUUGUAGACUGAGUUGGCGGAGUUGCGGAAGUACAUCGACCAGAAUCUAGCCAAGAAUUUCAUCCAUCAUUCAAAAUCGUCAAUUGGAGCACCCAUCUUAUUUGUGAAGAAGAAAGAUGGCUCAUUGCGGAUGUGCGUGGACUAUCGAGGCCUCAACAAGAUAACAAAGAAGAAUUAUUAUCCGUUACCCUUGAUUUUUGAUCUCUUAGAACAUCUUGGACGUGCAAGGAUCUUUACAAAAAUUGAUCUAAGGAGAGCUUACAACCUCGUACAAAUCAAGGAAGGAGAUGAGUGGAAGCCAGCGUUCCGUACAAGGUAUGGCCAUUUUGAGUAUAAUGUCAUGCCCUUUGGUCUUACUAAUGCUCUAGCGGUCUUUCAAUAUAUGAUGAAUGAUAUUUUUCGAGAGCACCUUGACGAUUUUGUUGUCAUCUACUUGGAUGAUAUUUUGAUAUUCUCCAAAAAUGAGGAAGAGCAUGAAAAGCACGUUCGUUUGGUCUUGGAGAAAUUACGCGAGCAAGGACUAUAUCCCAAGUUGGAGAAGUGUUUAUUCCACCAAAUAGAGAUGGAGUUUUUGAAGUUCGUUGCGACUACGGAAGGCUUGAAGAUGGACCCCAAGAAGGUGGAAGCAAUCGUGUCCUAGGAGGUUCCAAAGACGAUUAAAGACGUACAAUGCUUUCUUGGUUUUGCCAACUUCUAUCAAAUCUUCAUCAAGAAUUACUCUCAAGUUGCUGCUCCUCUCACUCGGUUGACAUGCAAGGAUAAGUUGGAAUGGGGACCUCUACUAGAGAAGGCGUUUUAAGACCUGAAGACCGCAUUUACUACGACUCCAAUCUUAGUACAUCCAGACUUUACAAAGGCCUUUUAUUUAGAAACUGAUACUUUGGAUUUUGCUUUGGGUGCUGUACUUUCACAAAUGGGAGAAGACAAGAAGCUCCAUUCGGUUGCAUUCUAUUCUCGAAAGUUUUUCGCUGCUGAAAUCAAUUAUGAGAUCCACAAUAAGAAACUUCUUGCUAUAGUGGAUUCUUUUAAAGAAUGGCGUCACUUUCUUGAAGGAGCUGCACAUCUAGUGACCGUAUACACAGAUCACAAGAAUUUGGAGUAUUUCAUGUCGCUUGAGUUCUAAAUCGACGUCAAGCUCGGUGGAGUAUGUCGCUAUCUAGGUUUGAUUUUGUUAUCACUUAUCGACCUAGAAAGCAGUAGGGACUAUCUGAUGCCUUAUCGAGGAGAUCGUAUCUUGUACCAAAAGCUGGAGAAGCAACGUUUGAUCAACAAUGUAUGACGUUGUUGAAGCCAGAGCAAUUUCAGUUUUGUGCUACUAUUAUGCCAAUUGAUGCUGACUUUCUGAAUCAGGUAUGUGCCGUAACCAUUGAAGAUUCAGUAGCCAUUGAUAUCAAGCAGUGUGCCAAUGACGACAAAUUCAAGGUGGAGGGAGAUCUUUUAUACUUUGAAGAGUGGUUGUAUAUUCCAAAAGGACCAGCACGACUCCGAGUUCUUCAAUCUCGCCACGAUUUUCCAACUGCGGGGCAUUUUGGAUCCAACAAGAACUUAGAGCUUAUUUCUCGAGAUUUUUGGUGGCCCCAAAUGUGGAAGGAUGUGAAAGAUUUUGUCCUCUCUUACAACAUCUGUUCAAGAUCCAAGAAUCCUCGGCAUCGCCCUUAUGGACUUCUACAGCCAUUACCAAUUCCACGUCGACCAUGGUCUUCAAUUUCCAUGGACUUCAUCACGGACCUGCCAUCAUCGAACUGAUUUAACAGCAUCUUUGUCAUGGUAGAUCGACUUACAAAGAUGGCGCACUUUGUCUCUUAUAAGAAGACAUCAUCCAGUGAAGUCAUAGCAAGGCUCUUUCUCGAUAAUGUGUAUCGAUAUCAUGGACUACCAGAUGAUAUCGUAUUAGAUCGAGGAACCCAAUUCGUAUCAAAGUUUUGGAGAUCUCUCUUUGAGAUAUUGAAGGUGGAUAUCAAGCUUUCUUUGACUUUUCAUCCUCAAACUGACAGCCAAAUGGAACGGGUGAAUCAAGUCUUGGAACAAUACUUACGAUGCAGCAUCAACUAUCAGCAAGACGAUUGGACCACAUAUCUGCUGCUAGCCGAGUUUGCAUAUAACAACACCCUCCAUGCGUUGACUCAAUAUACACCAUUCUUUUCCAACUAUGGGUAUUAUCUGAAGCUUGAUUUAUUGAGUCUGUCAACAAAUAACAAUCCAGCAGCUGAAGGAUUUACGAAACAACUAUCAGAGCUUCAAAAUACGUUGAAGCUUCAAUUACAAUCUGUUCAAGAAUCCUAUAAGGCAUCUAUAGAUAGAUUUCGGAAUCAAGCACCUACUUUCAAAAUUGGAGAUAAAGCAUAGCUUCUUCAAUGGAAUAUCAAGACCAAGCGACCUUGUGAUAAGUUGGACUAUCAAAGAUUGGGACUAUUUAUCAUCCAGAAGCAAAUCAAUCCAGUGGCGUACCGUCUAGAAUUACCGGCUUCUAUGAAGGUACAUCUAAUCUUUCAUGUUUCUCUGUUGGAGUCUUAUCGAGAGUCCUCUUUUCCUAGAAGAAUGCAAUAUCUAUCGCCUAGUAUUGAAAUCAAGAACCACAAGGAAUACGAGGUUGAAAAGGUACUGGAUUCAUGGCAAAGGUGGGACAAGUUAGAGUAUCUUGUUCAUUGGUGCGGCUACGACAUUAAUGAUCGAAUGUUGUCGUAUGGUGUGAUUUGCUAUCUGGGAAUAUACUGGAUAUCUAGCUGUAGAGAGUGUACCUUAAACCUUUAUAUGAUUCUUUUCUUGGCUUCCAAAACUCCUUUAUUUUUGUAUAAAACUCCAAAUAUAACAAAAUCCCUUCAAAACAUAUUUUUUCCACGAAGGGUUUUCUCGCCCCAAAUUUUAGAAAAUCAUAACUGUUAAUCUAAUUGUUUAAUUUAUUUUAAAUUUACAAAAUAGGUAGAAUUUAGCCUUAAAUUUUACCACAAAAAAAACCAACUAUAAAUUCACUCCCGAUCUUCUGGCAUUUAAGAAACCCUAGCAGACACUCCAAACCCUAAUUUACAAGCAUCUGAUAACUAUUUUCCUUAUAUCUCAAAAAUCAUAACUUUAAAUGUCAUAAAACUUAUGCACAAAGUUUACUAACAUGAAAUUACACAUUUUCUGAAAUUUUGAGCCAAAACUUCACAAAAUUGUUGAAGAUAUAGCUCAAGAGACAAACACUAGUAAAUCGAUUUACUUACUACCCUUAGAUUGCAUGUGCUGACUUCAAAAUCCAAUAACUCCUUUAUCCCGACUUAGAAUCCAAUAAGCAGUAUGCAAAAAGUAUAGCCGCAAAAGUGCUCUCUCCAGUCGCGGUCGCCGAUCCUCAAUUGCCAUCCGUACGCGUGCGUUAUGCCCAAAAGAGUGACAGUAGGUCCAAAACUAACACCUUAACUUUGAGCGCCUAUAACUUCUUCAUAAAAACCCCAAAUGACACAAAACUUGUACCAAAACCUUAACCAAAAACCUAAACCUUCUGACCCUAGCUUUCAAAGUUCGAAUGGCCUCGAGAAACUAACCCUAAUCCCUAAUAUGGCCUCGGGCAGCCUCCUCAAAGCCCAUUGGUCAUGAUUUUUGACCAAUAGGAAUGGAGAUUUUUAUUUUUCAUCUCCAUUCAUCUAUAUUGGUGCCCUUAUUCCUCCCUUUGCUACCAAAAUCCUUCUUCAAUCCUUUUUCUUAUAAGAUUUACAUAAUGUAUGCUCUAAACACCAAAUAAAAGAACCAAAAUAAGUUUUCAAAUGUCACCAAUGUCUAACAAAGGUGACUCUAAAUAUUUAGAAGUUACUAUCAACCAAAAUCAAUCUUAAAAGCCACUAUCAAAAAGAAAUUAAAGUUAUACAAAUUCUAUAGUAAUCUAUUUAAACAACCUCUUCUCAAAGUAAUAAUCAAAUUAUACUCUACAACCAACUAAAAUCUACUAACAUGGCUCUCACCAUGUUAUUUAAUAAAUUAUAUAUUAAGUAUAUAACUACAUUAUCUUCAUAUAGUAGUCGAACCACAACACGACAACGUGGGAGCCAACUAAAAAUCUCACUAAUGCGCUGCAAAAGAUACAAGAGUUUCAUCAACGACAUCCUCAUAAACCUAAGUCGGUUCGACUAUAGCUUCUUUCUGAAGCUUGUUGACCCAAGAAUAUAAGAAAGGGGGAGAGUACCACCAAAAUUCGUAGUUGAUUUAAUUAUUUUCUCCAAGAUAAAGUAGAAUUUUUCAGUAGCCAUAAUUUGGUUUUUUGAUAUGAAUAGCCAAGAGAUAGAUACUAUGCCAGUCAGAUUAUCUCAACCAACUAGCUCAAGAAGGCGACCCCGAGAUACAUCAUGAUGACAACGGAGGAUACCGAGUAACUGAUCAUUGGUGAUUAUAUUUGAGUUCGAACCUGCUUACGAUGGUCAGCCAGAAGGCAUAUUUGCAGGACAAUUUCACAAUGAGGAUACGAAAGUUCAUGCUUGGUCAUAAGUCGAAGGCGUGGGCCACUACCGUUGGUUUCAAGGACUGAUGAACAACUUACCUCGUGAACAACAGUUGGAGUUCAUAGCAGACGUUAUGCGACAUAUCUUCAUUUUCUUGCAUUGAUACUGAUUAACAACAACAUUACUUCUUAGAGACCUCGAAGCUAAAAGAAGGGAUGAUGUUAGGGACAUAGUCCUCAGAACCUUCUAGAGACAAGUUUCUAGAACCUUCUAGAAGCAAGUCUCUGAAACCUUCUAGAAGCUUCCUAAUUAGUAGAAGUUGCUUGAGAAGCUUCCUAAAUAGGAGUAUAUAUUGGAAUCGAGGCUGAAGAGUUCUUUAGUCUUGACAACACAUCUCUUGGAGCUCUAGCUCACUUCUUUGGUAUUAUUCUUGUAUUCAUGUGAUCAAUCUAGUUCUUGCCAAUUCUUUUUAAACUUCUUGUUAGAUCUCAAGUCUGUAUUUCUGUGUCCGUGACAAUAUUAUGAUAUUAGGUUAUAUAUUAUAAUAUAAUUAUAUUAAUUAAUAUUAUACAUAUAUAUCAUGAUAAAUAUAAUUAUAACUUAUUGGCAAGGACAAGAACUCGAUGAAAAAAUAAUCCAGACAAGUGAGCCUUCACUCAAAGAAAGAUAACAAAAUAUAAAUAAAUAAGGAUGUAUAUUAAAAGAGAAACUAGAAUGGCUAUUGCCAAAAGACAAGAAAACUAAAGAUCCUUGAAACUAGAUUAGAAGCAAGAAAGGAGUUGACAAGAGUGAAGAAGGCUUCACUCUUUUCUCUAUAUAUACUAUCUAACUAGAGGCUAUGUGGCGACGUUCUAUAGGACCUCUAAUAUGUGUUGACUUUGUAGGACACAUGCCUUGACUUACAAGAUAAGUUUUUCUAUGUGUGGGCCACAUAGUUAGCUUGAUCUUUAAGCAAACAACACGUGUGGCACAUGACCAACUUGUUGACCACGUUUCUAAUCCAAAAAGUCAAUUAAAGACACCUAUGAAGUGAAAGCAGCAUCUAUAAAGCUUCUAAGAAGCUUCCAUAUUAAAUACUAUAGAAUUAACUUACUUUUAUCUACUUUUAUUUACUUCUACUUAUUUGUAUAUGUAAUUACUAGCUUACAUGAGUAUGUCUGUGACAUUAUCUCCUCCCUUCUAGGGUCGAGUUCCACGAGGAGCAAUCAUCAUAUGUUGAGAAAAUCUAUGAUGCGAUGAAUUGUAUUCGCCACAUACUCUGAUCUUUGUUCUCUUUGAAGAUGAUUGAUAGGGCCUCUCAACCAUCGAUAGUGUGCCAUACCACAGCGGGAAGACCACCCAGUUAUUUGAUCAUUGUUGAGGCCUUCAUAACUUCUUUCGAAUAGAACAUUUGGAACACCAUCAGGAAUUGUUCCAACCUCUAGCAAAAUCACCAAACAUUGGGAGUCCCUUCCCAAAUCGUGAUACCAAACGCAUUGUAUCUCGCCAUCUAUUUGAAGAAGAACAUGUCGUUCUUGAAGAUAUUCAUCUCGAUUACAUCGUCUUGAAGGUUGUGACAAUCGUUAUGUCUCGUCUAGCAGGUCAGCAAAUGAAGGCUCUUGAGUCGAAUCCACUGGUUGUUGGUUCUCCAUCUCUUGAAUGUCACAACUAUAAAGAAGCUUUGAAUAAGGAUUGAAAGUAGAAUGUUGUCUUGCCUAGAUGUUGUUUCUUUUAUAAAGAAGGUUUUUAUCUUGAUUUUGAUGGAUGUUGUCAAUGAAAAGCCUCCACCACCUUUGUUGCAUUUGCAAGAUUCUUUAUUGGCUCCCAUGUACGUUUACUAAUACCAUAUCUGUGCCAAUGGACCAGAUAUUCCAAUUUAUUUCGGUGCCACCUUGAAUCUAAGACUUCUUCUACUUCAAACUCAUCAUUAUUUUUUACUUCUAUAGGAGGAGGUGGAGCUUGUCAUCUUCUUGGUAUGUCCACUGUCUUGUAUGGUUUAAGAAGAGACAUGUAAAAUACUAGAUGGAUUUUCAUUGACUCCGGUAGAUGUAAACGAUAUAUAACUGGAUUAAUUUGUACAAAAAUAGAAAAUGGUCCUAGCCUUCGAUAGUCCAACUUGUCAUAAGGACGAGUGAUCUUGAUAUUGUGACGAAGUAGCCAUACCUUAUCAUCCAAGAGGAAUGGUGGUUGUUCCUUUUGAUAGACAUCUGUAUUGACCUUUUGUUGUUCUUGAGCCUCUUUUAACUACACCUUCAUCGUUGCAUGUAGCUCUGAUAAAUGAAUCGUCAAAUCUUUCGCAGCAGGAUUAUCAACUUUUGAAAAGUCAAAAGUAUCAAGUCGUGGAUGAUAACCAUAAUUAGCAAAGAAAGGUAUUUAUUUUAUAGAAGAAUGUACUGUGUUAUUGUAAGCAAACUCUGCCAAUGGCAAAAGAGUUGUCCAAUCAUCUUGUUGGUAGUUAAUUGUACAUCUUAAAUAUUGCUCCAAAAUUUGAUUAACACGCUCCGUUUGUCCAUCAGUUUGAGGAUGGAAUGCUGAAGAUAGUUUUAUAUCCACUUUUAGAAUCUUGAAAAGAUUUUGCUAAAAUCUUGAUACAAAUUGAGUUCUCCUAUCUGAUAUAAUAUCCUUGGAUAAUCCAUGAUAGCAAUAGAUAUUGUCAAAAAAGAGCUUAGCUGUUUCUUCACCUGUGAUAGAUUUUUUACAUGGUACAAAAUGUGCCAUCUUGGUAAAACGAUCUACAAUCACAAAUAUAGAGUCAUAAGAACCCGAGAUUGGAAGAUCCGUGAUGAAGUCCAUAGAAACAGAAGACUAUGGUUGUUCUGGAAUGGGUAAUGGCUGAAGAAGUCUAAAGGUUGAUGACGAGAAGUUUUUGAUCUUGAGCAAACAUCACAUGAUUGUACAAAAUCUUUGACUGCCUUCCACAUUUGAGGCCACCAAAAAUCACUAAAUAUGAGCUCCAAAGUCCUGCUGUUGGAAAGUCGUGACAAACUUAAAGAACACGUAAAUGUGCUUCUCCUUCUGGAACAUAUAGGCAUCCUUCAAAAUAGAGUAGGUUGUUCUUGAAUUCAAAUUUAGAGAGAUCAUGAGAUUUAGAAGAAUUAUUCUUGAUAUCAUGAACAAGAGGAUUUGAAGACAUACUUAAUUGGACUUACUUAAGAAAAGUUAAAUCAACAGUCAAUGUUGAUUUUAUUGCUCGAAGAUGAAAUUGCUCCGGCUUCAAGAGAACUGUUCUUUGUUGCUCAAAAGUUGCAUCUCUUUCUUUUGGUGCAAGAUAAGAACGUCUAAACAAGGCAUCGAACAAACCUUGUUAUUUUUCUAGCCGAUAAGUCAUGAUGAACUCGAAUCUUGAUAAAGACAUGCUCCAACGAGCUUGACGAUGAUUUAAUACACGUGUUGACAUAAAAUAUUCGAGGUUCUUGUGAUUCAUAUACACGAUGACUGGAUUGGAAGUGCCUUCUAGAUAAUGAUUCCAUUCUAGAAAAGAAUCCACAAUUGCAAGAAAUUCUUUGUCGCGGAUCUCAUAAUUGAUUUCUGCUGUUGAGAAUUUUCUUGAAUGAAAGGCUACUGGAUGAAGUUUAUCAUCUGUUCCCAUUUGUGAUAAAACCACACCCAGAGCAAAGUCUGAUGCAUCUGUUUCUAUAAAGAAUGCUUUGGAAAAAUCAACACGAUACAAGAUUGGUGCAAAAACAAACGCUGUCUUCAAAGAUUCAAAAGCAACUUUUGCUUCUUGAUUCUAUUGGAGUUUGUCUUUAUAAGUCAAAAGUAUAAGUAAAGUUGCAACUCGAGAGAAGUCUUUGAUGAAGAUCCAAUAGUAGUUGGCAAAUUCCAAAAAAAAUUGGACAUCUCUUACCGUUUUUGGGAUCUUCCAAUCUAUAAUAGUUUGAACUUUCUUAGGAUCCAUCAUAAGAUCAUCAUUUGAAAUGAUGUAACCUAAGAAAUCGACUUGAGUAUUAUGGAAUACACACUUUUCUAUCUUGGCAUAGAAUCCUACAUCUCUUAAUUUUUGUAACACAUGACGAACAUGAAGUUCUUCUUCUUUUAGAUUCUUAGAAUAGAUCAAGAUGUUGUCUAGAUAAUAGACUACAAAAUCGUCCAAAAACUCUUGAAAAAUAUCAUUCAUUAGAUGUUGAAAAGCUGCUAGUGCAUUUGUAAGUCCAAAAGGCAUGAUGUUGUAUUCAAAAUGUCCAUACCUAGUUCGAAACGCAGUCUUCCAUUCAUCUCUUUCUUUGAUGUGUACUAGAUUGUAUGCUCCCCGAAGAUCUAUUUUUGUAUAGAUCUUAGCUUGAUUCAGUUGAUCAAGAAGUCCAGAUAUUAAAAGUAGUGGAAACCUAUUCUUGAUGGUAAUCUUGUUGAGUCCUCGAUAAUCAACAUACAUCUGCAAUGAUCCAUCUUUUUUCUUCACAAAUAGAAUUGGAGCUCUUGCCGGAGAUUUAGAAUGGCGUAUGAAAUUCUUGGCUAGAUUUUCUUCAAUAUACUCCUUGAAUUCAGUCAACUCAUUUUGUAAUAAAUUGUAGAUUAGUUCGAAUGGCAGAUGUGCUCCUUCUUGAAGGUCAAUUGAGCAAUCAUAGGAAUGAUGUUCUGAGAGUAUAUUUGUAUUUUUUUUUUGAAUACAUCUUGAAAUUCUUGAUAUUGGCUUGAAAUGCCUCUUGAAAUCUUUCCACCAGUAGGAACAUGUGUAGCAUAAAUAAUAUAUGGUGAUUCUUUCAUAGCAGCAUGCAAGAAAGCUUUUGUACCUAUAAAUACGGGUUUAAUUGAACUGGACUUAUGAUUCUCUAUUUGAUUAACUACACUAUUAGUUAUACUUUUAGAAAAAAUAAGAAUUCAGAAAAUCCAAUCUAUUUGAGGGUUGUAUUUUUUUAACCACAAUAAACCUAAAAUGACUGGAUUAGAGGGAGAUCUAAUGAUAUUAAAUACUAAAAAACUAUUAGGCCCAUUGAUUAUUACUUCUAUAGGAAGGGUUUUAUGAGUAAUAUCUCCAAAAGAUAAUGGACGAUCAUCUAUGACUUCUACAUGAACAUGUUUAGUUUUCUUUACUAAAGAUAUGCUAUGUCUUUUAAUAAAUUCUUCAUCAAAAAAAUACGUUGAGGCUCCCCAAUCUAACAAGGCAGAGAUUGUGUAAUGUUUAGGUCCUAAAAUAAUAUUAAAUAUAAAACAAGGAGAAGGCUCUGAGGAAAAAAUAAGACCUUUACUAGAUGUUGUGAAAGGUUCCAACCGCACGGUUCCUAUUGUAGCUGGACAAACUGGUUUUCUGACAUAUUAUCUUCUUUCACAGCCAUACUCCUCAUUUUGUGAUUGCGUCAUUUCUUUGGACAAUAUUGAGUAGUGUGCUUUGGUUCUCCACAAUAUAAACAUAAUCCUUCUUGACGACGAUGAGUCUUUUCUUGCUCAAUAAGACGUUUGAAAUGUACUGCAUCAAUUUGCAUAACCUCUACUUUCGAAUGUAUGUGUUGAAGAGGUGUUGGUGUUGCGAUUGAAUUAUAGUAACAUUGAGGUCUAUUUGUACGGUUCUCAGAUCGAAAUUUAAAAAGGAGAUUGUCGCACUUCACAGCAAAGUCAAUUGCUUGACUCAAUGUUUGAGGAUCAGGUAAGUUGAGCAUUAAUUUUUUUACCUCAUAUUGUAAUCCAUAGAGAAAUUGGCUAAUAAGUGCAGCAUCAUCCCACUUGAUAUCAGUUGCAAGUUGUCAAAAUUGUGAAGCAUACAACGUUACUGAUCGAUUAUCUUGUCGUAAAAUAUGGAUCUUAUUGGUUGCAACACGAAUUGCAUCAUAUUUUCCAUACAUGGAUCAAAAUUCCACUAGAAAAGCCUCUAGAUCAUCCAAUAUUAGAUCUCGUCGUUCAAGAAAAGAUAAAAAUCACGAUAGUGCUAAACUUGAAAGAAGCGUACCAAUGAAUCUAACUUGCGAUCCUGGAGUUGGAUAGCUUUGGGGUUGAAGUUCAAUCACAAGUUUCACUUGAUUGAUAAAUCCUCGAAACUUAGAUCUGGUGCCAUCAAACUUCUCGGAUAGGAUAAUUCUUGGUUCUCUAACACUAGAAGAGCGCUCCACCAUAGGAGAAAGGACAUGGUUUGGUGUAGAUGUUGAAGCAGCUCCAACCAUUUCUAUAUCUUCACUUCUUGUCAAUCUUAUUGCUCCUUGUGGUGGUAAAUUAAGUUGAUGCAUCGCAAGCAUUAACUCCUUCAAUUGUUCUUGUAUUUGUGCCAUUACAUUCUUCAUUUCAACAAGUUUUGCCAUGAUAAUACUUAAAAAAGAGAAGAUGUCUAAUAUCGCUCAAGAUAAAUAGAAGAGAAAACUUGAAAACAAAGAAAAUACUAAGGACAAUAUCAGUUUAGAAGAGGGUAAUCCGCAACUUCUAUAUGCUUAUAUCUUAUCAAGAAAAAGGGAUAAUCCACUCUUAAUCAAGAUUAGGCAAAGCUCUGAUAUUAUAGGUGUACUCUUGUCAAUCUAUCAAGGACAAGAACUCGAUGAAAAACUAAUUCAGACAAGUGAGCCUUCACUCAAAAAAAGGUAAAAAAAUAUAAAUAAAUAAGGGUAUAUAUUGAAAGAGAAACUAGAAUGGCUAUUGCCAAAAGACAAGAAAACUAAAGACCCUUGAAACUAGACUAGAAGCAAGAAAGGAGUUGACAAGAGUGAAGAAGGCUUCACUCUUUUCUCUAUAUAUACUAUCUAACUAGAGGCUAUGUGGCAACGUUCUAUAGGACCUCUAAUAUGUGUUGACUUUGUAGGACACAUGCCUUGACUUACAAGGCAAGUUUUUCUACGUGUGGGCCACAUAGUUAGCUUGAUCUUCAAGCAAACAACAUGUGUGGCACAUGACCAACUUGUUGACCACGUUUCUAAUUCAAAAAGUCAAUUAAAGACACCUAUAAAGUCAAAGUAGCAUCUAUGAAGCUUCUAGGAAGUUUUCAUAUUAAAUACUAUAGAAUUAACUUACUUUUACUUACUUUUAUUUACUUCUAUUUAUUUGUAUAUGUAAUUACUAGCUUACAUGAGUAUGUCCGUGACACUUAUUAUAUAUUACAUAUUUAAUAAUAUUUAACAAUAGAUGUAUAAAAGCAAACAUAUGUAUGAAUGAUUGAAGUUAGUAUGUAUAUUGUCAUGUAAUGUAGCAUUAGGUACCAAAUCUUAUCAAAUAGAUGUAGUUUAGUUUAAUUUAGUGGAUUUUUAUCCAUUUAGUAUUUUUUGUUAGUCAAUCUUGUUAAUGUCAAUUAGGUUUUGAAGACUUAGAUAGAGAAACCUCCUUGACUUGAUAUUUUUGUCAAGUUAAGUCUUAUGAGUAGUUUUAAUAAAAAAAAAAAAGUCUGUGGUAUAUGAUUUUGUUUAGCUAGGGUAAUUAGCAUUUUAGUGAGGUUUUAGGAUUUUCUCUACACACACUUAUAUUCUUGGAUUCUCUUUUUGUAGUAUAAGAGACAGCUUGAUUUAGAAGUAUUUUUAUUUUCUAUCUUUGACUUGACAAGGAUGUUUAUUUCUUUAAUUUAUAGUGUAGCAAAUUGAAAUAAAAUAGUAAUAAAAAAUAAAAUAAAAUAAAUCCCUUCUUUCAAUUUUUUUGGUUGUCGUACUCCUAGAUUUACUUUUAUUAUUGGAUCUUAUUGCACUAUGGUAUUUUAUUGCUCACUAUGCUAUUAGCUUCUCUAUUACAAUGUUGAAUAUUAUAGUUUUGGGAUAUUAUUGUAGUAUUGUCUUUUAUAUUAGUGGAUUAUUGUGCAAACAUAAUACAACAAUAUAGUAUUGCAAUACAAGGUGGUUGGAGCAUCACAAUGCAAGUUGUAAGAAUCCAUUGUCGUGUAGCAUGAUUUGUAAUUUGAAAAUACAUGGGGUAUCUAGCUAUAUAGAGUUUAGUUUUAGCUUAUCGGCUAAGUUCCAAUAAGUGAUUUGUUCAAUCUUUAACUUAUAUACAAAUUCUUGGCUCCCAAAACCUCUAUAUUUAAUAUAAAAUAUCCAAAUUGUAUAAAAAAACCCCUCAAAAUAUGUUAAUUUUUAUAAAAGAUUUCUUCUUCUAGAAUUUUAGAAAUUUAUAUUGCUUGAUCUUAUCGUUUAGUUUCUUUCAAAUUUUUAAAUAAUAGAGCUAUUAUCCUAAAGCCUAACUACAAAAAAAUGAUUUGUAAAAUGAUUAUCAAUCUUUUGGUAUCUUAGAAACCCUAGCAGAUGCUCUAAAUCCUAACUUACAAGCACCUAAGUACUAUUUUCUUUAUAUCUCAUAAAUUCAAAAUUUAAAAUACCUCAAAAUUUGAACACAAAGUUUAUUCAUAUGACUAUACUCAUUUUUCAAAAUUUUGAGCUAGAAUCUCAUCAAAUCAUCACAUAUCACAUAUAUAGGUAAAUAUGUAUGUCCAUUGUCGUGUUGUGGUUUGGCUACCAUGUGAAAAUAAUGUGUUUAUAUAUUUCAUAUAUAAUAUACUAGACAACAUAGUGAAAGCUAUGUUAGUGGAUUUUUGUUGGUUAUAGGAUGUGGAUAGAUUACUAGCUCAAAAAGAAGUUAUUUAAAAGAGUUUCUAUUAGAAUUUAUAUAACUUUAUUUUCUUUUGAUAGUGACUUAGAAGUUGAUCUUAUUAGUAGUAAGUUUUCAAUAUUUAGAAUCACCUUUGUUAGAUAUUAGUGACCCUUAAAGUCUUAUUUUGUUUCUUUUAUAUGGUGUUUAGGGCAUAUAUUGUGUAAACAUUUUAAAGAAAAGAAUUGGAGAGGAAUUUUGGUAGCAAAAAGAAAGUUUAGGGCAUCCAUAUAGAUGAAUGGAGAUGAAUGAUAAAAAUCUCUAUUACUACUGAUCAAAAAUCAUGACCAAUGGACUUCAAGAAGGUUAUCCGAGGCCAUAUUAGGAAUUAGGGUUAUACUUUUAAUCUAUUUGAGCUUUUGAAGGCUAUGGUGAGCAAGUUCAAAGCUUUGGCUAUGGUUUAUGUUCAAAUUUUGAGUCAAUUGGAGCUUUUAUGAAAGAGAUAUAGGCAUUCAAAGUCGAGGUAUCGAUUUUGUAUCUACUAUCACUCUUUUGGGUAUAACUCAUGCAUACAAAAAGCAAUAGAGGAUUGAAAAUAGAGGUUGAAGAAAGCAUUUUUUUAAUCUAUAGUUUUGUCAUAUUUUUUGAUGGAUUCCAAGUUGGAAUGAAGAAGAUAUUGGAGGUUGAAAUUAGUGCUUUCAAAUCUAAAAGUAGUAAGUAACCUGAUUCACUAGUAGUUGUAUUUUGAGCUAUAUUUUGAGAAAUUUGAUGAGAUUUUGGCUCAAAAUUUCCAAAAAUGUGUAUAACUAUGUUAAUAAAUUUUAUGUACAAAUUUUGUGGUAUUUAGAUUUUGGAUUUGUGAGAUAUGAAGAAAAUAGUACUCAAGUGCUUAUGAAUUAGGGUUUGAGGCACCUACUAGGAUUUUUAAGAUGCUAGACGAUCGGUUGCAAAUUUAUAGUUUAAUUUUUUUUGUAGUAAUGCUUAAGGAUAAAUUCUAUAUUAUGUGUAAAUUUGAUAAAAAUUGAAUAGUUGGAUCGAGAGAUAUGAAUUUCUAAAGUUCAAGAAGAAAAAAACCUUUGCAGGAUAAAUAUGUUUUGAUGAGGUUUUAUUAUAAAUUGACCAUUUUAUACAAAUUAAAGGAGUUUUUUGGAAAUCAAGACCUUAUAUAUAUAUUGAAGAUGAAUAUAUAGAACUAUGGUUAAAUUUUGAUAUAAAGAUGAGUUUUUGAGAGGAGAUUAUAGAUUUUCUUUGGAAUUAUUGAAAAUCUAACUUACCGGCAAAUGAUUAGUUAUGAUUUGGUAUAACCAAGAAUGUUAGGAAAUUCCUAGAUAUUUUAGAAAUCCUUAUGUAUAAAUCUUCUUAAAUAUAAAGGAUUUUACUAAUACAAUUUAUUUUUGAUAUUGUAGUAUUUAUUUGUCUUUUACUUUAAAGAUUAAAUAACUUAUUAGAGCUUGAUUAAUAAGUUAAAACUAAACUCUCUAUAGCUAGGUACCCAAUGUAUUUCCAGAUAGAAAACCAUGUAAUAUGACACCGUGAUAAUUAGAAGCUAACUAAGAGAUAUGUUUUUUCAUACAAUUAAAAUCUCAUUCCUAGAGACUUUUUAAUUCUUUCUUCUAUUAUUAUUUUUUUAUUCUUCUUAUAAUUGAAGAUAUUAAACUUUGAUUAAUAUUUUUUAUAUAUUUUUUAGCUAAUUAUUUUUUGACUUAGAUAAUUCUAUCAAUUAUAACACUAAUAUUACUCUUCCUAAUUCUUCUAAUUUUUUUUUGUUUUAGAUUGAUUAAUUUUAAAAUGAUAACUUUAAUAGUAAACAUAAAAAUAUAUCUCUUUAAAAGAUAAUAAUAAUACUUGUAAUAACUAUUUUUAUUAUUAAUUUACUAAUAUAAUAUUAUAAUAUUAUAAUUUUUUAUUUUUUCAUUAUAUACUAUUGUAUACUAUUGAUAUAACAAUCUACUACCACCUUUGCAUAUAAUAUAAUUACUAUAAUAAAAAAUUAAAGAAAUAUAUGAAGUUGGUAGUGGAUUGUGAUAAUAAUAGUAAAAAUGGAGGUGGUAUGAGUAAUAUCCAAAAUUUUCUAAGACAUCCAAAUUACAUCAUCUAUUAAAUUAUAAAAAGUAGUAGAAGUAUUUUUGAAUCAAAAUUUAUAAUAUUAAUUUUUAAAUGGCUAGGUUUAUUUUAUAAUAAAUAACAUUCUUUGUAGCUACUAUAAUAUUCUAUAUUUAUUUAUAUACAUAUGUACAUAUGAUUUUUUUCACAAAAAUAUAGAUAUGAUUAGGGUAAUUAUUUCAUGUCAAAUAAAAUUUUAAGCAUCAAUUUUAUCAAUAAAUUCUUCAAAAGUAUUUAUUAAUUUGUGAAAUAAAUUAUAUAUUGGUCGAAAUAGUAAUUAUAUGUAUUUUUUAAGAUUAAUCUUGUAAUUAUAAAAAUAGUGCUUAAAAAAGUUAUUAACACUAUUUUUUCAAAUAUACAUUACAAUUUCUUAUAGUAAUUUAGGAUUCCACUACAAUCUCUAAUAAAAUAAGGACUUAGUGUUAAAUAAAUUAUAUAUAUAUAUAUAUAUAUAUAUAUUUAUUUAUAUAUUAAUCCAAAAAAUACGGAUUUUAUUUUUUAAGAAUUAUUAAGUUUUUAUAGAAAAAAUAUUUUAUAAAAAUUAAAAACUAUGAAGUAUUUAAUUUGUUUAAAGAUUAUUCUCUUUUUUUAAAAAAACCUAAAAUAACAUGAUUAUUCAGUAUCUUAGUAUUAUUAAUUGCUAUUUUUUUUUAUUAUGUCCAUGUAUAAAAAUUUCUACAAGAAAUGUUUUAGAAAAAGACAUAUCCACAAGAUAAAUAGGACAUCUACAACUUUUUUGUGGAUUUUCUAAGAAUUUGUAAUAAUAAUAUUUUUUGACCUUUGGCAAGAAAUUAUGAUUCAAUGUUAAAAAUGACUUUAUAAUUUAACUAAAUAGAGGAAUACAUUACACUUUUUAUAGGUCUUUGUUAAAAUUUUACUUAAAAACAAAGAGAGGAUUUAGAAUACAACAAAGGACCUUUAUAAAAUGAUGUUGGAUAAAAACCUAGUUAUACAUUUCUAUUGAAGCUAGAAGUUUUUUAUACAUAUUUUAACUUAAUAUAAAAUAAUUUUUAUUCAACUUAUUUAAUUUUAAAACAAUUAGUCUGUAAAUCAAUUUUUUUAUAUUGAAUAUAAUUUUAAUUUUUAAUUUUUGAAUAAAAUAAUCAAUAAUUUUAACUCAAAACUUUUAUAUAAUUAUAAAAAAUACUUCUAUUAAUGUGAUUGUCAUUUUACUUAUUCUACAAUUCCUUUCAAAAUAAAUCUAUAUAGGGGAAUUCGAACACAUGGAAAGACUAAGUGCAUGAGUUUUGUUUGUUGCUGUCACACAAUUAACUGUAUUUCAAACCACUAAAAUACUAUGAAAUACUAUAAUGCUUUCUCCCAAUAACAAUACUCCUUCAUCAACUGAUAACAACAGUGUACAACCCUGCACUCUCAAAAGACCGCUUAAAACACAUAAUUUCCAUCCAACACCAGGAAUAACAGACUUCACUCCAAUAAUGUGAAUUCACAAAAUUUCUAUAAUCAUAGACUUCCUCUGUCCAAACACACACAGCUCUCAAUAAACAACAAUCAUAAUCUUCCAAUAACUCCUCAUAUAAUUCAAUCACACAAUACUCUAAUUACAUAAUCAAUAACUCAUAAAUCAAUCUUUGAUUUAUUCCAUAGACUCACUUCUCAGUAUUCAAAAACUAUCCAUUACUCUUCAACAACAAAGAAAUAAAGAGACAAAGAAGUAAAGAGGUAGCACCAAGCUUACCCCAGCUCAUGACUAUUAUAGUCUGGCCCUCCAACAAACUUCUACAACUCCUAUAUAAUUCCUCUUGAUUUCCAGAUUCUAAUCAUAAUCUUAUAAUUAACCGCUUUUAAUAACUAAAUCAAUCAUCUGUCCUCUUGAACUGACUAUUCUAUGGACUAUUAGUCUAUUUUACCAAUAACUUACAAAAACAAACUAAUAUCUAUUCUAUAAUUAAUUAAAAUUUACAAUGAAAUAUAGAAGAUAUACAAAUCAAUGUCGAAUUAUUUAAAUUUAUAACAAUCUAAGAAAAAACAUGACAACACAAAGAAUGCUUGUACUUAUGUGGUAGAAAAUCAAAAUAUAUUACUAAGUAUAAUCCAAAGAAGUUGAAUUUAUAUAUAUAUGUAUACAUAUAUAUUUUAUAAGAAUAUAAUGAUUUAAAAAUUUUAUAUGUUAAAUAUAUAAAUUCUUAUUUGAUAUCAAAAAAAUAUUUAGUGGAAUAUAAAAAAAAAAAAAUCUAAUAAAUCUAAGUUCAAAAGUAAAAAUUAAUUAAUAGAAAAAAAAAUUAUUUUGAAAGAAAUGUAUUUAAUUGAUAAAUCCUUGAAAUUCAGAUCUACUAUCAUCAAACUUCUUCGGAAAAAUAACUAGUAGGUCUUUAGUAGAUACAAUUAUAUUUUUGUGAGUUACUUGAAGGAAUACAAUCAUUGAAGAAAUUCUAAAUAUUUAUAUGUCUUAUUGAUUAGACACUCCUAAUAUUAAUCACAGUAGUAAACAAAAUUAACAUAUAAUAAACAUUAAUCUUUAUAUUUAUAUCUACAUGUAUGUAAUAAAAAUCUUUAUCUCUAUUAUUUUUUCUACAAAUACAAUGAAUUAAGAAUUUUUUUCUUGAAUUAUUAUAGAAGCUAUUAGAAAAAGAUUCUAUUUAAUUUUUGUUAAUUUUUUUGAAUAUAAUAUUGCAAUUAAUACCAUCUAAGGACUCUUGUUUGUAAUAUUGAAGAUUGUAAUUGGUCAUCUUUUUUGCAAGAAUAAAUAUACAUUUGAAAUUCUAUGAUAGACCUUUUCUUAGAAAUAGCUUGCCAUGCUUGUGCAUCUAUGGUUGUUUGUUUACUCAUUCUUGAGUACAACUAACUUUUCAUUAGCAAAAAAAAAAAAAAAAAAAAAAAAAAAAAAUUGGAAACAUGGCUUGCCUUUGCACAGAAAUCCACAAAAGGGGGCUUGAUGGAACUAGGGAGGCUCAUGACCAGUGGAUGCUUCUAGAAUGUUGAAUAGCUAAACGAUCAAAAACUUCAAAUGUUCAAAUAUUUUUGAACAUGCCAAAAAGAUAAUAAAUAUUGUUACUGUUAACUAGGCGGAAAGCAAGCAAGCAAGUCACAAACACAUCCAACUUCCAUCCACACAAGGACAUCCAUGAAGAGACGUUCAUCAUCAAAGCAGGUCCAGCAUUCAUUCUCGGAAGUACACACAAAUAAUCCACUAAAAGCACCACCACCCAGAAAAGCCUUACCGCAGUUUUGGCCACUUGGGUCUAUAUUCCCUCCGAGUAUAUAUUAAUAGGCAUGUUUUUACCAGUUGGUACGAUCUCACUUGUUUUCUCGUUGACAAUCUGCACACUGUAGAAUCGACUGCAGGUCACAACUGUGCAGUCCGUGAUUGACAACCACAGACCGGGUGAAUCUGAGAUAGAUCACACUGUUACCUGUUUCAGUCGGCAUGGACGUUGACAAGCGCCGACGAUUAUUCCGGAGUAGUGUGCUGUGAUGCGCCAAAAACCGCAAUUGGUGAACGUGGCCAGAUACCGACUACUCGACCCCUCAAAAACUCCGAAGAGUGUGCCGAGCAGUCGAUAUCUGCUGCUUCUUAGCCACACCUCAUCGUCAUUUGGUGUUUUCUCAGGAUAAGUUGCAAUCGUUUGUUGCAGACGGAAAGUGUGUCGUUAUCGCUGAGUUCAGUUGCGCAGCACAUAGUUCUAGCGACCACACCUAGGUUCUUAGAAAAAGCCAGGAUGAGGGUACCGCUAGCCCUGUGUUUGGUGGUAGGUUGCAUCAUUGUAGGUAUCAGUGCACAGCGUUCUCCAGAUGGCCUCCCUCGGCCAGAGAAUACGCGCUUUUCUCCAGAUUACCCAUUUGGUCCGACACCUACGGUCUAUAACAAUGUGACAGGAGCCGUGAUCGAUUGCGAUUGGUAUGGAUGGGAGAACAUUCUGUAUCCGACAUCUUCAGUCCGAUGCACAUACUUGCUGCGGGCCUUUUUGACGAAUGCGACAUUGUUUCCUCCCAGCAAGCGCGAAGCAUAUGUAUACUACUACCAUUCCAAGUUGUCGGACCCGGCCACCGAAGAACCUUAUUGCUACCAAGGGUGCUUCAAAUUGUCUGCGUCUUCGUCCUCACCGCCGUCAGCUCCCGCUUCGGACCCCCCUCCUCCCCCAGAUAUAAUCCCACCAAGUCCCACGACUUUCAACUCACCACCACCCCCAACUCCCAUCUUAACACCUACUACUCCCAGCGUAACGCCGUCCACCUCGCCUGGGACGCCUACAACUCCAACAACUACACCUAGAUUCAACUCCAACAGUGGCGAUUGUUUGCGGCCGUCGGCGCCGGGAUCGUGGAUUGCGAUGGUGGCGGGUGCAGCCAUGUUGAUGAUGAGGGGGAGAUGGUGAGGUGUGAAGGGGGAGGCGCUGCGAUGGAGAAGCGCCGACCGUGAUGUAUGUAGGUAGUCCCUCUCCGUUCCCAGUGUGUGUGUGAAUGUGAGUGUACAGGUGAUGGAGGUAUCGUGUGGAGUCAGCUGGGUUCCUUGAUAGAUAGGGUAGCAGUAUCAUUAUCAUCUGGCUCUCUCUGAUUUGAAUGGGGCAUGAUGCUGUGUCUCCCUUUGUAGCUGCAUCAUUCCUUGCACCAUUUCCCUUUGAUAUGUGAUAUGUCAUCGUGUAGUACGAAAAACCGAUGGCGAGAUUCUAUGCCAUGUUUAUAAAAUAAUUAAGUCAAGUUUAUGGAAGCCAAAUUAUUUAGUUUUUUUUCGAGAUAAUUGGUUCCUUCCCUUUCCUUUCCUCCUCGCACACUUUCUGCUAUCUUAUUGCA
This 24372-nucleotide long non-coding RNA is filed under the name Physcomitrium patens. Its description in RNAcentral is "long non-coding RNA (PPAT_LNC000645)". Lineage: Eukaryota; Viridiplantae; Streptophyta; Bryopsida; Funariales; Funariaceae. The record is from RNAcentral.